GCGCCCACGAAGCCGUGC
Molecule: unclassified non-coding RNA, 18 nt
Filed under: Chlamydomonas reinhardtii
Lineage: Eukaryota; Viridiplantae; Chlorophyta; Chlorophyceae; Chlamydomonadales; Chlamydomonadaceae
Description: small RNA Cre_1739
Source: RNAcentral